Molecule: ribosomal RNA, 24 nt
Filed under: Terminalia catappa (Indian almond)
Lineage: Eukaryota; Viridiplantae; Streptophyta; Magnoliopsida; Myrtales; Combretaceae
Also listed under: 21 other names
Description: partial 18S ribosomal RNA
Source: RNAcentral
GAACCUGCGGAAGGAUCAUUGUCG